This 69-nucleotide transfer RNA is filed under the name Rattus norvegicus (Norway rat). It matches the Rfam family "tRNA". From Rfam's summary of the family: Transfer RNA (tRNA) molecules are approximately 80 nucleotides in length. Their secondary structure includes four short double-helical elements and three loops (D, anti-codon, and T loops). The record is from Rfam by way of RNAcentral. Lineage: Eukaryota; Metazoa; Chordata; Mammalia; Rodentia; Muridae.
GGGGAUUUAGCUCAGCGGUAGAGCGCUUGCCUAGCAGGCACAAGGCCCUGGGUUCAGUCCCCAGCUCCG